CAUUCUUUCACUGCGGACCAUGCUAAAGCAGGCAGUGGACCCUUUGACCCUUGGCCCCUAUUUUGCUGACCCUCCCUGAGCCAGACACCAGGGAAGGGGCACAGGGAGCUGGCUACUUAUUGACAGCUUCAAUUCAUGCAGACUUUCAGGGCUGCUUUUUACUAUCAAAAACAGAAUCUACUUCUCAAUAAGAGAGAUGAUAUAAAUGAUGUCACUUUUACUGGUAAUUUCAAAGUUUGGGUUUAGUCGUGUAGAAGAUUAGCACUGGUUUUCUUUGUCAUAUUAAAUGUGGAAAAUUGCUAAGGGCUAUGGAAUAAAAGCUUUGAUUGACACAUUGUCAAAAGACUAGAAUACACAGGAAUUGUUUAGAUUAGGUUGUGUGGUUUUGUUUUGUUUUUCUUUUUUUUUUUGUCUUUUUAGGGCCCCACUUGCGGCAUACAGAAAUUCCCAGGCUGGGGGUCAAAUCGGAGCUGCAGCUGCCAGCCUACACCACAGCCACAGCAACUCGGGAUCCGAGCCUCAUCUGCAACCUACACCAUAGCUCACAGCAACGUCAGAUCCUUAACUCACUGAGUGAGGCCAGGGACUGAACUCUCGGAUCCUCAUGGAUCUUAGUUGGUUCAUUAACUGCUGAGCCACGAGCCACGAGCCACGACGGGAGCUCCCUAGAUUUGUUUGAUGUAAAAGCUUCAUUUAAGGGAAAGAACUGCUUUCAAGUUCUUCAGCUUUUGUCAUUUCUGUUUUGGUGCAUUGUGUCCCUGUCGGAUGAUUGGUGCAUCUUAGGGUGGUCAUUCAGAGCUGGAAAGUAGAUUGUCUCUAAUGUUUACCCUUUCUUGGCAUUGCAGUUUCCUAAAAAAUCUGAAAUAAGAGCCAAAUGGUCCUCUCUACAGGUAGGGAUGACUUUUCUUCUCCAGCUUAAACUUAAAAAUAUAGCCUGUUUAUUAGCUUUUGUUGGCACUGAAUAGUGCUUAGACACUAUAUAUUUCACAGCAGACAUUUUCUCUACUUACUGUUGUGAGCAGUUGGUUAAUUUGAAGAACUCUUACUUCUCUUGAUCCUUGCUAUGACAAAAAUCAAUGUCCACAGCACAGUCUGAAUUAAUAGGGCUCAAACUCAUUAGGCCAUGAAAAUGGUUUAAUCAACAGUGAACCCUUUAAAGACCUUGUCAGAUAGUAUUUUAAACCAGAUUCAAGGGAGAAAAUGGUUAGCAUUGAAAAAUAUUCUUUGUUUCAAAGUUUACGUUCUUUCUUUUUAAAGCCCCCUCGAAUAACUUCUGGAGUUGCCCCUAUGUUCCAUUUAGAGGGAAAAAACACCAUUUUUUUGUACUGGACCAUAGCCAUUCAAUCUAAUUACUAAUCUCUUUUUAGCAAUAGCCCUUUCAGACACUGAAAGACUCUUUGUUUCUUCAUCCAUAUGUCUAUCCUGAGGGAAGAUUCUGGGUGAGCAUUUUGAUGCUCUUGCUCCUGGGUUCUCUUUCUGCAGUUUUAGCCUUCUCUGCCCCCUCAGCUUUACUUCCUCCCACCUCCUUAAGUUUGGCAAAGGUUGGCUGAUUGGUUGGUUGUGGAGUAUUCAGGAGUUGGUCGCUGUGUAGGUGUGGAUCAGCAGUCCCUUCCAAGCCUCCUUUUCAUUCUCAUGAAAGUUCUAAUUAGAGUGUACUGUGAGUUGUUUGUGAUAGGUGAAGCCUGAAAGGGGAAACCUAUAUUAAUUAAUAAACUGAAUUUCUCUGUCUGAUCACUUUUUAUUUUGGGGUGUGGAGCUUAAGUUUAAAUCCUGGUUCUGAAAAGUACUAACUGCAUAGCUUAUCGAACAGUUGUCACUUAAAGCCUUUUUGGCGAUAUUUGUUCAUUUAUGAAACGGCGAGAGUGAUAGUGCCCAUCCUACAGGGAGAGUGUCAUGUGUGUAAAGUGCUUAGGAUGAUACGGUCCAGUCAGUAAAUAUUUGCAUAUUUGUUACUGUCUCUACUCACAGUUUGCCUUUUAUUUUAUUUUUUUAGAGCUGCACCCACACCAUGUGGAAGUUCCCAGGCUAGGGGUCAAAUUAGAGCUACAGCUGCCAGCCUACACUUCAGCCACAGCCAAGGCAACAUGGGAUCCGAGCCGCGUCUGCCACCUACACCACAGCUCACAGCAACACUGGAUCUUUAACCCACUGAGCGAGGCCAGGGAUCAAACCCGCAUUCUUAUGGAUACUAGUGGGAUUUGUUUCCGCUGAGCCACAAUGGGAACUCCCACUACUCACAGUUUGGAUGAAAAACAGCUACUGUGAGUUUUAAGCAUGAAAAGGACAUUGUCACAAUUGAAUAUCUGGGAAGAUUGCUUACAUUGUUGAGCGGAAGUUGGUUGUGGGGCCAGGUGCGCAAAGACAGGAAGACUUGCCUUUAUGUUGCAGGCUUGACUAUGUCCUUUCCUAACUUGCAUGUUGACGCCCUAACCCUAUAGCUCAGAAAUAGGGGCAAACCCUAAUCCAUCAUGCCUGGUGCUCCUUUUUUUUUUUUUUUUUUUUUAAUUAAGGUAUAGUUGAUUUACAAGGUUGCAUUAGGAGUUCCCUGGUGGCUCAGAGGGAUCUGUCAUUGUCACUGCUGUGGUUCAGGUUUGAUCCCUGGCCCGGUAACUUCCACGUGCUGCAGGUGGAGCCAAAAAAAAAAAAAAAAAAAAAAAAAGGAAAGGAAAAAAAGAAUUGAGAGACGAGAUGAAAAUUAUAAGAGGUUGUAUGAGGAUUAGCUAGUUCACGCAAUUGACUUUUGCUCUGCUGGAAUAAUGACAUAAUUUUGAUGGUUGAACCACACGAGGUAAAACACAUGCCAGUACUUGAGCAAUUUUAUGAUUAUCUCCUUGAGAGGAUGGGGUGAAGUAUGAUUCUCCUCUGUGUAAUAGCAUAAUAAUCUGGCUUGAUUCUUUUUAGAAGUCAUUGAGGUAAGUUGAGUUAGUGUUUAAAUAGUGACCUCGAAGACAUGGACAAUGGCGAAGAGGACUCUGCUCGUCCUGAGACUGUGCUGAGCGCCGUGGCUUCUUAAUCAAAGCAACAGUUAGCUCGGACGACCCCUUUCCCCAAGGUUUUAUUUCAUCUUGCGGUGUACAUGGGAGAGCUUCUGAAGAGGCUGAGUGCCAAGCCAGGUGGUUUAGUUCUGUGGCCCACCUUUUUAAGGAGGGGAAAAGGAGAGUAAAUUUUAGCAAGUUUACUUUUGCUAAACUUUCUUAUUUAGUAGAGUAGUCCCUACAUUCAUUCAUAGGAGGUUUUUGAUUUUGUUUUGUUUUAAAUAGCUCAAUUGUAAGAAAAACUAUUGUAUACCCAAUAAAGGGCAACUGUAUAGAAAUGCUGGCCAUUUCCAUCCUUGGCAGUACCAGGUCUCUGAAGGUGUAGGAAGUAUGAAAUACUCCGAGUGAGAGAGUUGAUGAUUUCUGAACUGAAUUGUGGAAUUUGUUGUUUUAAGAAACUCUUGGACUAGGGGAAGAAACCAAAACAAAAUCCCAAAACAUUUCCAGUUCAACCCUCCUGCAACCUGGGAUCUUCUGUAAGGCUUUCAGGGUGGAUCCCAGGCUGUGUUGAGGGGCUUAGGAAUUCAGCAGACCUCUGGCUGCUCCUAGUCAUUGUGAGAAUACGUUGUUUACUGCCUGAGCUAUGACAGCAUAGGGUAGUGGUCUUCAGAGUGGGCUGCUGCUUCUCCAAGGAAUAUGAUGUGCAGAAUGAUCCAUUGGGAUGCAGGGGAAGCACCGCAAGUCCUGUUUUAAAGUUUUAGUAGUGGCUGGAUAUAUAUGUGAUUGUGCAUGUUUUGGGAUGUAUGCUUCUUGUCUACUUUGGGAGCUAGGCAGUUGUAAGAACACCCCUACAGUGGCUUAUGCGGCCUCUCUAACCCCUGACCUUACUAUUAGUCAUCUGCUCCCCUCUUCCCCCCUCCCCAUUCCAGCCCAUGUGGCCUUUUUGCUGAUCCUGAAAGGCUUCUGAACCGUGACCCACAGCAGCCUUUGCCCUGGUGGUUCCCUCUGCCUGUAAUGCCCUUCUCCAGAGGCUCCCCUUGAUGCUCUUGGCUAAUGCCCUCACCUCCUCAAAGGCUUUGCUCAAGAGUCGUUUCUCAGUGAGGCCUUUCUUGACCACCUUUUUAAUGCAGCAGCAUACUCUGAAGCCUCCUUGUAUUGCUCUGCUUUUCCUUUUUCCUUAGCACUCACUGCCUUUGGAGAAACUGUAUUAUAUCUGUUGGCUCUUGUUUCCCCAGCAGAAGUAAGAUCCUUGAGGCCAGGACUCGCCUUCUCCUUUGUUCACAGAUGCGUUCCUGUUGCUUAUUAGAACUGUGCCCGUUCAGUACAUUCUGCUGAAUGAUUAAAGCCUCUGGCGCGUAGUAGGCUCAGUAGGCUUCUUUUAAUGAAUGAAUAAAUUAUUUAGGGAAAUUGGAAAUAUAAAAAUGAAUAAAAUAUGCUCUAUGCCCUGAAGUAGUUCUAUGUAGCUGUGAAGACCAAACAUAAGAAAAUAAUUUUCAACUUGUGAGACCUGUGUGGUAGAAUCGUGAGGGGGCCGAGGGUGGAAUUGAGCCGAUCGUGACUGACUGUCUGUGGGCGGAGAAGGCAGGCAGACUCAGUGCCUCUGAAAGGGGUGAUGCUAAAUGUAAAAGCUUUAAAUACCCGGGAACCCACGCAAACCUAGAGCUUGUUUAUCCAAUGAGUGUGUAGGAUGGACUUUGAAAUGAGGAUUUUUAACAUCGAGAUUACGGUUUUAUUUUUUAUUUGUUUUUAAAGAAUGAGAUGAAUAAUUGUCUGAUCUUAAGAGAUAGAUCUUGCAGAAAUUUUCAAAUGCAUAUUUUUUUCCUGGGCAAACUAUUCACCAGAAAAGAAAGUGCUUUUCUACACACAUUUACCAACCCUUGGUUCCUUUCUCCCUCUUUCAGCCUGUACUUUCCAUGCCUUGGGCAAAAAGUUUGGGUUAUUUUCACCCACCUGAAAUCCCUAAGUAUUUAUUGGUUAAAAACUCAGAGUAGGUACCUAGCACUGUAAAAGAGUAGUAUCUCUUUAUGAAAAUAUGUAGGGGUGGAAAUUGCUUGCUGGAAAUGCAUUGAUCUC
Molecule: long non-coding RNA, 5048 nt
Filed under: Sus scrofa (pig)
Lineage: Eukaryota; Metazoa; Chordata; Mammalia; Artiodactyla; Suidae
Description: lncRNA (ENSSSCG00025074929.1)
Source: RNAcentral